UAGAUAUUUCGGCACUGGCCAAGUCUUAUGCUCCAUGUAACUUUACAACGUACCAGUGGAUCGCGCCAAUGCAAAAAUUGAUAUAAAUUGACAAGCUAAUUAUGUGCUAGUCAUUCAUAGGUGGAACUCAAUGCGAUAUCAUAGAAAUAACUACAUAUGAUAUAAAAGAAUAAACCCGUAUUAUCGAAGUGUUAAGGUCCUGAUUACUCAGAAAAAGUAACGUAGUAAUUAAGAAAAAGGGCAUUUAAUCUCUUACCCUUUUAUUUCUCUUUGUCUAUCCCCUAUUAAACCGUAGACUUCCUGUGGAACUGACAAAAGUUUAACAUGAUAUUGUAUAUAAGCAAUGAAGUUCCAUAAGUAGUUGAUCAAGUAUGGGAACACCACAAUUCAGCAAAAAAAAGUCUGGGAACACCACCAUCCAUAUGGGUUUAAGCUGAGGAAAGGAAGGCAUAAGCCUUAGAUACAACAAAGAAAAACUAAGGGUAUGGAAGCCCCAACUACCUCACCAAAAAGAGCUGCGCGAAUGCUGGGCGGGGAGCUAAGGAAGUGGCAGCCAAGAGGUAGAAGGAGAGACCAAUUGGCUAACUGAUCCGCACUAGAGUUGCCUUCACAAUAAGUGUGUUGGACGCGAACCACUUAGUCCCUUGGGAGGAGUUCCUUGAUGGCUCUAACUAAUGACGUCGUCUGAAGAGAACUAGGAGAAGAUCCCAUGACCAAACUCUGAGCGAGGGAGGAAUCAAGCUCGAGGAUUACCUUGCGGCACCCAAGCGAUCAGACAUGCUGCAGCCACGUGAAUACGCCCCACAAUUCCGCAACAAUGGCCGUAGACCAUCCUAAAUUCUGGGCGAAACCUGACACCCAGUGGUAGCUCAUCUCAAACGAUUCCACCAGCACCCGCACGCCCGGGUUACCCCAGGAGGCCCUGUCCAUAUUAAAGUUUAACGGAAUUAAAAUUCCAAAAAUCCUUCAUUCUCUCAGUUUUUCUCCUCCCAAACACACCGUAAUAUUUCUAUCUCAAAAUGGCAAAAUCGGCCUUAGGUGAAUCCCGAAAUUAAUAUACGACACAUAAAUCCAAAUAAGAAUUCCAAUUCAGUGAGAAGUACCUUCUAUUAGUCAAGGUGUUUUAACUGAGACAUAUAUUCAGGAUACUGUUUUCCCCCCUCUUUUUUGGAUUAUAAGAUAUUAUAUAUUAUUUUGUCGGAAAUAUAAGAUUUUUCUUUUAAUUUUUUUCCGUGAAUCACAAGCUAUUAUCUUUUAGAA
Molecule: non-coding RNA, 1260 nt
Organism: Punica granatum (pomegranate)
Lineage: Eukaryota; Viridiplantae; Streptophyta; Magnoliopsida; Myrtales; Lythraceae
Source: RefSeq, a predicted model, not a curated record